UAUAUACAGGCCAGGUGUAGUGUUGUAUUGUCUACUAUAUACAGGUCAGGUGUAGUGUUAUAUUGUCUACUAUAUACAGGCCAGGUGUAGUGUUAUAUUGUCUACUAUAUACAGGCCAGGUGUAGUGUUAUAUUGUCUACUAUAUACAGGUCAGGUGUAGUGUUAUAUUGUCUACUAUAUACAGGUCAGGUGUAGUGUUAUAUUGUCUACUAUAUACAGGCCAGGUGUAGUGUUAUAUUGUCUACUAUAUACAGGCCAGGUGUAGUGUUAUAUUGUCUACUAUAUACAGGCCAGGUGUAGUGUUAUAUUGUCUACUAUAUACAGGCCAGGUGUAGUGUUAUAUUGUCUACUAUAUACAGGUCAGGUGUAGUGUUAUAUUGUCUACUAUAUACAGGACAGGUGUAGUGUUAUAUUGUCUACUAUAUACAGGCCAGGUGUAGUGUUAUAUUGUCUACUAUAUACAGGCCAGGUGUAGUGUUGUAUUGUCUACUAUAUACAGGUCAGGUGUAGUGUUAUAUUGUCUACUAUAUACAGGUCAGGUGUAGUGUUAUAUUGUCUACUAUAUACAGGUCAGGUGUAGUGUUAUA
Long non-coding RNA from Oncorhynchus keta (chum salmon), 587 nucleotides. RefSeq lists it as uncharacterized. The transcript has 3 exons. Lineage: Eukaryota; Metazoa; Chordata; Actinopteri; Salmoniformes; Salmonidae. The record is from RefSeq and is a predicted model, not a curated record.